AUUGAACGCUGGCGGCAGGCCUAACACAUGCAAGUCGAGCGAGCGGCGGACGGGUGAGGAAUGUAUCGGGAUCUGCCUGGUGGAGGGGGAUAACUAAGGGAAACUGUCGCUAAUACCGCAUACCAUCAGAUGAGCCCAUGUGGGAUUAGCUUGUAGGUAAGGUAAAGGCUUACCUAGGCGACGAUCCCUAGCUGGUCUGAGAGGAUGAUCAGCCACACUGGGACUGAGACACGGCCCAGACUCCUACGGGAGGCAGCAGUGGGGAAUAUUGCACAAUGGGCGCAAGCCUGAUGCAGCCAUGCCGCGUGUAUGAAGAAGGCCUUCGGGUUGUAAAGUACUUUCAGUCGGGAGGCGUUACCGACAGAAGAAGCACCGGCUAACUCCGUGCCAGCAGCCGCGGUAAUUC
This 406-nucleotide ribosomal RNA is filed under the name uncultured bacterium. Its description in RNAcentral is "partial 16S ribosomal RNA". It matches the Rfam family "Bacterial small subunit ribosomal RNA", at positions 30 to 526 of the family's 1533-position model. The record is from RNAcentral.